This 418-nucleotide ribosomal RNA is filed under the name uncultured Glomeromycotina. Its description in RNAcentral is "SSU rRNA". It matches the Rfam family "Eukaryotic small subunit ribosomal RNA", at positions 676 to 1092 of the family's 1831-position model. Lineage: Eukaryota; Fungi; Glomeromycota. The record is from RNAcentral.
AUGUACUAGCCUGCCGAUUCCUCCUUCUUGUAGAACCGUAAUGCCAUUAAUUUGGUGUUGCGGGGAAACAGGACUGUUACUUUGAAAAAAUUAGAGUGUUUAAAGCAGGCUAGCGCCUGAAUACAUUAGCAUGGAAUAAUGAAAUAGGACGUUCGAACCUAUUUUGUUGGUUUCUAGGAUUGACGUAAUGAUUAAUCGGGAUAGUUGGGGGCAUUAGUAUUCAAUUGUCAGAGGUGAAAUUCUUGGAUUUAUUGAAGACUGACUACUGCGAAAGCAUUUGCCAAGGAUGUUUUCAUUAAUCAAGAACGAAAGUUAGGGGAUCGAAGACGAUCAGAUACCGUCGUAGUCUUAACCAUAAACUAUGCCGACUAGGGAUCGGAUGAUGUUAAUUUUUUAAUGACUCAUUCGGCGCCUUACG